UACGUAGGUCCCGAGCGUUGUCCGGAUUUAUUGGGCGUAAAGCGAGCGCAGGUGGUUUAUUAAGUCUGGUGUAAAAGGCAGUGGCUCAACCAUUGUAUGCAUUGGAAACUGGUAGACUUGAGUGCAGGAGAGGAGAGUGGAAUUCCAUGUGUAGCGGUGAAAUGCGUAGAUAUAUGGAGGAACACCGGUGGCGAAAGCGGCUCUCUGGCCUGUAACUGACACUGAGGCUCGAAAGCGUGGCGAGCAAACAGG
This 252-nucleotide ribosomal RNA is filed under the name uncultured bacterium. RNAcentral describes it as "partial 16S ribosomal RNA". It matches the Rfam family "Bacterial small subunit ribosomal RNA", at positions 524 to 776 of the family's 1533-position model. The record is from RNAcentral.